Fukomys damarensis (Damara mole-rat) is the source of this 281-nucleotide unclassified non-coding RNA. Its record names the gene 7SK. It matches the Rfam family "7SK RNA". From Rfam's summary of the family: 7SK was discovered as an abundant small nuclear RNA in the mid-70s but a possible function has only recently been suggested. Two independent studies have found that 7SK RNA binds the CDK9/cyclin T complex (known as elongation factor P-TEFb). The record is from Ensembl. NCBI's taxonomy places the organism in Eukaryota, Metazoa, Chordata, Mammalia, Rodentia, Bathyergidae.
GGAUGUGAAUGUGAUCUGGGUGAGACAUCUGACACCCCAUUGAUUGCCAGGAUUGAUUCAGCUGAUCUUGCUGGCUUGGCAGGUGUCCCUUUGCUAACUCAUCACUCCAUGUGCAGCCCUCCUGAAGCUACAUACUCAGUAGAACAGGAUGACCAUCCCCUAUAGAGGACCAUUUCCUCAUUCAAGGGUAUAUGAGUAGCUGUGCUCCCCUGUGAAAACAUCCAAAGAAGCUUUCCAAUUUGCACAGGAACAGGAACAAAAAGGGAGAUAAAGUAUAAUGU